Molecule: transfer RNA, 64 nt
Filed under: Euryhaliotrema johni
Lineage: Eukaryota; Metazoa; Platyhelminthes; Monogenea; Dactylogyridea; Ancyrocephalidae
Description: tRNA-Tyr
Source: RNAcentral
GCCAGCUUAGUAUAAGCUUAAUACGUAAGACUGUAAAUCUUGUAAUAAUAAUAAUUAGCUGGAA